CCUACGGGUGGCAGCAGUGGGGAAUAUUGCACAAUGGGGGAAACCCUGAUGCAGCGACGCCGCGUGAGUGAAGAAGUAUUUCGGUACGUAAAGCUCUAUCAGCAGGGAAGAAAAUGACGGUACCUGACUAAGAAGCCCCGGCUAACUACGUGACAGCAGCCGCGGUAAUACGUAGGGGGCAAGCGUUAUCCGGAUUUACUGGGUGGAAAGGGAGCGUAGACGGCAGUGCAAGUCUGGAGGGAAAGGCGGGGGCUCAACCCCCGGACUGCUCUGGAAACUGUACGGCUGGAGUGCAGGAGAGGGAAGUGGAAUUCCUAGUGUAGCGGUGAAAUGCGUAGAUAUUAGGAGGAACACCAGUGGCGAAGGCGGCUUACUGGACUGUAACUGACGUUGAGGCUCGAAAGCGUGGGGAGCAAACAGGAUUAGAUACCCGAGUAGUC
Molecule: ribosomal RNA, 440 nt
Filed under: uncultured bacterium
Lineage: Bacteria
Description: partial 16S ribosomal RNA
Rfam family: Bacterial small subunit ribosomal RNA
Source: RNAcentral